This 466-nucleotide ribosomal RNA is filed under the name uncultured bacterium. Its description in RNAcentral is "bacterial SSU rRNA". It matches the Rfam family "Bacterial small subunit ribosomal RNA", at positions 33 to 507 of the family's 1533-position model. The record is from RNAcentral.
CGGACACGCUGGCGGCGUGCUUAACACAUGCAAGUCGAACGGUGAACCAGAGCUUGCUCUGGGGAUCAGUGGCGAACGGGUGAGUAACACGUGGGCAACCUGCCCCAGACUCUGGGAUAACCUCGGGAAACCGAUGCUAAUACCGGAUACGACCACUUCGGACAUCCGACGGUGGUGGAAAGUUUUUCGGUCUGGGAUGGGCCCGCGGCCUAUCAGCUAGUUGGUGGGGUAAUGGCCUACCAAGGCGACGACGGGUAGCCGGCCUGAGAGGGCGACCGGCCACACUGGAACUGAGACACGGUCCAGACUCCUACGGGAGGCAGCAGUGGGGAAUAUUGCACAAUGGGCGAAAGCCUGAUGCAGCGACGCCGCGUGAGGGACGACGGCCUUCGGGUUGUAAACCUCUUUCAGCAGGGACGAAGCGAAAGUGACUGUACCUGCAGAAGAAGCACCGGCUAACUACGUG